UAUUGCAUUUAUUUGUAACUAUCUUUUUAUCUGAAAUUUAUCAAAUGAAAGUAUUUAGUAACUAAUUUUGUCUUUUAUUUUUAUUUAGCGUAAGUAGGAUGGAUUGUAGUAAUUGAGUUCUAAAUACAAAAAAUACUUACUAAUUUUUUUCUUUUUUAACAGUCUAGGCUGAAAUUUACCUGUUUGAAAAAAAGAACCAAUGGAGUUGUUAAUUAGCAGUGACAUGAUUUAAGAGACAAUAACCAGAAAAGAAAUAAGUAAAAACCACGUAGGAAACUUCUCUGUGAUUGAUCUGCACUCUUAAAUUGUAUUUAAGUAUGCGUGUGUCCUGUGGCAGUAGCUGCUCUAGUUUUAACACUGGCCUCUAUUUAAAAGGCAGCCUCAUCAAGAUACUUACAGUAUUUCUCAGCCAAGCACAGAAAUCAAAUAACGGUCCCUCCAGAUAACAGCCACAGACUUGAAUCCUAUGUAUAAUCUUAGUAACCCAAUAAAAUAACUUAUUUGAAGUAAACUCUAUUGGAUUAACAUACAGUUUCUAUAUGAAACUGGCCUCUUCAUUACAUUGUUUGCCACAGGCUUCUUAAUCUGUAAAGUCUGAAAAGAACAAUUUUUUGUUUUUACUGAAAAACAGUUUUAUGUUAAUAUUUGUUGUCCUGUAUGUUGUCUAUUAGUAGACUGGUUAUCCUUGAAAACAAAGACUUUGAUAGCUGUU
Molecule: long non-coding RNA, 712 nt
Filed under: Homo sapiens (human)
Lineage: Eukaryota; Metazoa; Chordata; Mammalia; Primates; Hominidae
Description: HSALNT0299543
Source: RNAcentral